GAUAAUCCCGCCCCGAUCUUGACCAGUUUAUCUGGAUUUCCCGGUACCAACUCAACAUCCUCUGUUUCUUCUGCUGGUAGAGCCAUGGGUUCAGUACUGCCUUCCGUGAAUGGCUCGAUCUCGAUGGUCAUCGUCUGUUUCUGCUUACUGACACCGACUCCUGAAGAAAUCAAGGUAUUCCGAUAACAUCUUCGGGCGAUGUCGAGAUCUCCGUUUUACCUCCCUUAUCCCGUUCGGUGUCGGAAACUUGAUUUUGAAGUGGGGUAUAGAUGUUACCGCUUGCAGUGCCGAUAAGGUGGGCCUUCCCAAAAUGGCGUUGUAAGCCGAAUCCACUUGUACGACAAAAAUUUUUACCAUGAUUUCUGUCUGCUGUGGGGCCGUA
Molecule: long non-coding RNA, 382 nt
Filed under: Panax ginseng (ginseng)
Lineage: Eukaryota; Viridiplantae; Streptophyta; Magnoliopsida; Apiales; Araliaceae
Description: long non-coding RNA (PGIN_LNC004623)
Source: RNAcentral